Drosophila virilis is the source of this 65-nucleotide non-coding RNA. NCBI's taxonomy places the organism in Eukaryota, Metazoa, Arthropoda, Insecta, Diptera, Drosophilidae. The record is from Rfam.
CGAUAAUGCAACACAAGCUCAACUUGGAGACUGAUUAACUUUUUGUUUCUAUUGUACAGUUUAUA